This 701-nucleotide long non-coding RNA is filed under the name Capsicum annuum. RNAcentral's name for it is "long non-coding RNA (CANN_LNC010962)". The record is from RNAcentral. Lineage: Eukaryota; Viridiplantae; Streptophyta; Magnoliopsida; Solanales; Solanaceae.
CAACUUCCCCCUCAACUCCCCCUUUCUACAUCUCUGUAUAACACAACACACACGAAAAAAAAAAAAAAAGACAGACACAACCAAAAACUUAGAUAAAAGGGGACAUAAAACAGAGGGAAUGAAAAAAAAAAAGGAAAAUAGUGAGAAGAGAAGAGGAAAAGUAAGAGGAAAACAAAACAUUUCCAACACUUUCUAUUUCCAUAACACACGCACACAAGUCACAAACUGGACGGAGAAAAAAAAGGAAAAGGGUUACAAUUAGUUAAUGUCGGGUUCUUGUUCGAGUUUUUGGUGAUGGUGUUCUUGCUUCUUUUCAAGGUUUAAUUCAUCACGCAGGUUUCUAUCAAAUUUCGUAUUAUUAAUUUUAUAAGUUUUAUUAUAAAUCGAAGAAUGAAUGAAGUUAUUUCAAUGACUUCUUAUAUUAUUUAGUGUGUUUAGUUUUCUAUUUUUAUGUAAUACAUGUUUUAUGUCUUUAUUUGUAAUUCGAUUGUUGUUUUCUAAAUAAUAUUAAUUAGAUUGACUUUAAAUUUUAAAUGAGAUGAUUUUUUAAAGUAGGUGUUUAGAUAUACGGAAACAAUAAAUUGUGUUAGUUGACAUGCAAUUAAUAUGUAAUGGUGUUAUAAAUUAUAACUUAGUAUUCAUGUAUACAUGCACUAAAAGUUUUUUUAAAAAAAGGGAAUAAAAAAAAAGUGUAAUACUGU